AGGUUGAACGCUGGCGGAAUGCUUUACACAUGCAAGUCGAACGGCAGCACGGGGGCAACCCUGGUGGCGAGUGGCGAACGGGUGAGUAAUACAUCGGAACGUGCCCAGUCGUGGGGGAUAACUACGCGAAAGCGUAGCUAAUACCGCAUACGAUCUACGGAUGAAAGCGGGGGAUCGCAAGACCUCGCGCGAUUGGAGCGGCCGAUGGCAGAUUAGGUAGUUGGUGGGGUAAAGCUCACCAAGCCGUCGAUCUGUAGCUGGUCUGAGAGGACGACCAGCCACACUGGGACUGAGACACGGCCCAGACUCCUACGGGAGGCAGCAGUGGGGAAUUUUGGACAAUGGGCGCAAGCCUGAUCCAGCCAUUCCGCGUGCAGGAUGAAGGCCUCGGGUUGUAAACGUGUCUUUUGUAACGGAACGAAAAGCCGUUACUUCUAAAUUACAGGAGGUCAUGACGUACGUAAGAAACUAAGCACCGGCUAACUACGUGACCAGACGAGCCG
This 503-nucleotide ribosomal RNA is filed under the name uncultured soil bacterium. RNAcentral's name for it is "bacterial SSU rRNA". It matches the Rfam family "Bacterial small subunit ribosomal RNA", at positions 26 to 519 of the family's 1533-position model. The record is from RNAcentral.